RNAcentral lists this ribosomal RNA (497 nucleotides) under uncultured bacterium. RNAcentral's name for it is "partial 16S ribosomal RNA". It matches the Rfam family "Bacterial small subunit ribosomal RNA", at positions 28 to 507 of the family's 1533-position model. The record is from RNAcentral.
GAUGAACGCUGGCGGCGUGCCUAAUACAUGCAAGUCGAGCGAACGGACGAGAAGCUUGCUUCUCUGGUGUUAGCGGCGGACGGGUGAGUAACACGUGGAUAACCUACCUAUAAGACUGGGAUAACUUCGGGAAACCGGAGCUAAUACCGGAUGAUAUUUUGAACCGCAUGGUUCAAAAGUGAAAGACGGUCUUGCUGUCACUUAUAGAUGGAUCCGCGCUGCAUUUGCUAGUUGGUAAGGUAACGGCUUACCAAGGCAACGAUGCAUAGCCGACCUGAGAGGGUGAUCGGCCACACUGGAACUGAGACACGGUCCAGACUCCUACGGGAGGCAGCAGUAGGGAAUCUUCCGCAAUGGGCGAAAGCCUGACGGAGCAACGCCGCGUGAGUGAUGAAGGUCUUCGGAUCGUGAAACUCUGUUAUUAGGGAAGAACAUAUGUGUAAGUAACUGUGCACAUCUUGACGGUACCUAAUCAGAAAGCCACGGCUAACUACGUG